GGCUCCGGUUCAGUAAAUCAGCAGUUUAGCAGUUCAGUAAAUUAGACCGACUUUUAAGUUUUAAUGGAGUAUUGGAGUACCAUUGGACGUCAUAAACUCAUAACAAUAUAACAUGUAACGAUAAAAACCAGUUAUCCCCGCACCAUACUCUAUCAUAGUUACGGUAGCUGCCGGCUGGAAUAAAACACAAAUUUAAUAAAAACAUUUAAUUUGACUUAUAUUGGUUAUUUGCUUCUUAUCGCCAACUACCGAUAGUUAAAAAUUUAAAAUAGAAAAAUACUUAAAAUUGCCCGCUGCCGAAUAACUGCCUAUAAACAGUAAAAACUAUAGAUUAUAGUGAACAAUUUAUAUUUUAUAAUUUUUUAUUAACAUAAAAAAAAUAAUACAUUGGUAUUUAUUUAUAAUCAAGUGCACUAUUCAUCUGAUGAUUGAUAAUCGUUUUUUAAAGUGAAAAAUGUUCGGAAACGUAGUGAAGCUCGACUGGCAGAGCACUGCUGAGGGAGAAACUAUAAUGCAACAUUUUUACAAUCCGCAGACAAAUGGUAGAAAAUUUUUUGGACUAUUGGAACGACCUAUACUGCCAAACAUAGAAGAAGUAUCGUACAAAUUGUUUUUUGUCGGAAAAAGCGGAGCUGGAAAAUCAUCUACCAUUGCUCGAUUAGCAGGGAUAUUAAAUCUUGAUGAAGAGUAUGUAGAAACUCGAGGUAUACGUAAAAGUAAUAUUUAUUGGCCUGUCAAAGUAUGGGAUAGAAUUAUUCUAUUUAGACUGCAAUGUUGGGAUGCCGGUGAUAGAGACAUUAAAAAGUUUGGACACAUAUUACCGGUGUGUAAAGAAGAGGCAGAUGCCAUUGUGUUUGUAUUUUCCUUUGCUGACCCUAGUGGAUUAACUAAUAUUUCAACAAAUCUACCUGUAUACAUGAACGACAAAAGUAAACCGGCUCCUAUUGUUAUUGGCACAAAAUAUUGUGCAGGUGAUUUUACUGCCAAAGUUACAAUUGAUGAUAUCGAUGAAUUUGAAAAAACACAAAAAAUCACUAUAUUGAAAAUAAACAAAACUGAUGGAAAAUAUGAUGUGAAAGAAAACGAGAUUACAGCAUAUACAUUGAAUGUAAUUUGUGAACAGUUAUGGAUAAGAGAUCAAAACUAUAUAUUAAAUCAGGAAAUGGAAUCUUCUCAAAUUGUCUGAACAGAGUUUCUUUGUGGAUUGUGCUUUAUAUCUUUAUAGUAUAUUUAUGAAUCUUAGAAUCAAUGAAUUGGACAACUGCGUUUGCCUAGAUUAGCAGUUCCUAAACUCAGAUUUGCGGCUUAAAACAGUGUUGUAGAUGUUUUUAUGUUAGUAAAGACAUCAGUGGAAUUCAAGAGAAACUUUUUGACCUUCAACUCGGCUUCAAGUCAAUAUAUUUCAAAACACAAUUUUUACGAUGAUUCUCAUACAACUUUGGACCCCAAGCCAAAAAUAAACCAAUUGUAUUAAGAGAAGCAGAUGUUUUAUUAUUAUAUCUUACCACUUAUUUAUGUGAAGCCAACUUUUCUGCAUUAAUGGUAACAAAGUAUAGAAAUAGAUCUAUAAUAUGAUAUGCAAUGUGCCCUUGUAAUAAAAAUCAAAUCAAAUAUUGAGAAAUUAGUGGACAGUAUGCAACAUCAGCCAUUAAUUUAUUAAUUUAAGAAUUUUACUUUGUUUAAAAAAUGUAAGUGAAUAGUUAACAGUAAUAAUUCAUUUUUUUUUAUAAAUUAAAAAUAAUCAUAAAUUUGUAUACCAAUAUUGGAAUGUAUACUAAUAUUUGGAGUGCUCAGUAUCCCUGCUAUUAUAUUUUAAUAUAUAUUACAAAAAGUAAAUAUUGUCUACUGUUUUUUAAAUGGAGUACUUAAUAUAUUAUAUAGAUACAUUAAUAAAUUAUAGAACAAAAUUAAUGUUACUUUCUGUACAGUAUUGAACCAAUGAUUAAAUAUGCACUUUGUACUUAGCAUGAAAAAUAUUUAUGUGACCUGUAAUUAUUCAAGUUUUGUACUUUAUUUUUUUUUAAGUAAAAAAGUUUACUAUAUUUCUUUACUUUUGUUUAAACUAAAGAUAAUUUAAUGAUUAUUAUAAAUUGUAUUUUAAUAUAUAUUUUUUUAAGUGCCUUAUCAUUCCUGAAACAAAAACUUUUAUAAGACUAAACUAACUUAGUUAAUUUGUUAAAUUAUUAUAUUUAAUGUUAUUUAAAUAAAGAAAUUUAUCCUAAAAUAAA
RNA transcript from Rhopalosiphum padi (bird cherry-oat aphid), 2228 nucleotides. It is a transcript of the gene named ciliogenesis and planar polarity effector 2-like, with no coding region annotated. The record is from RefSeq and is a predicted model, not a curated record. The transcript is spliced from 5 exons. Lineage: Eukaryota; Metazoa; Arthropoda; Insecta; Hemiptera; Aphididae.